UAGAGUUUGAUCCUGGCUCAGAACAACGCUGGCGGCGUACUUAACACAUGCAAGUCGAACGAGAAAGGAAGCUUCGGCUUCUGAGUAAAGUGGCGAACGGGUGCGUAACACGUAAGUAAUCUACCCUAAACUCUGGAAUAACUCCCCGAAAGGGGGGCUAAGACUGGAUAGGGUCCUCGAGGUGUAAGCCGCGAGGGGAAAGCAGGCCUCUGUUACAAGCUUGCGGUUUAGGAUGAGCUUGCGUCCCAUUAGUUUGUUGGUGAGGUAACGGCUCACCAAGACGACGAUGGGUAGCUGGUCUGAGAGGAUGAUCAGUCACACUGGCACUGAGACACGGGCCAGACUCCUACGGGAGGCAGCAGUGGGGAAUUUUGCGCAAUGGGCGAAAGCCUGACGCAGUAACGCCGCGUGGAGGAUGAAGGCCUUCGGGUUGUAAACUCCUGUCAGGGGGAAAGAAGGACUCGAGGAUAGAACACGUCCCCGGGUUCUGACGGUACCCCCAAAGGAAGCCCCGGCUAAUUCCGUGCCAGCAGCCGCGGUAAUACGGAAGGGGCUAGCGUUGUUCGGAAUCAUUGGGCGUAAGGGCGCGUAGGUGGUCUUAUGUGUCCGUCGUGAAAGCGCACGGCUCAACCGUGCUUGGUCGGCGGAAACUGUAAGACUUGAGGCUGGGAGGGGCUGGAGGAAUUCCCUGUGUAGCGGUGAAAUGCGUAGAGAUGGGGGAGAACACUCGUGGCGAAGGCGUCCAGCUGGACCAGUCCUGACACUGAGGCGCGAAAGCGUGGGUAGCAAACAGGAUUAGAUACCCUGGUAGUCCACGCCGUAAACGAUGGGCACUAGGUGCCGGCGGUAUUGAUCCCGUCGGUGCCGGCGCUAACGCAGUAAGUGCCCCGCCUGGGGAGUACGGUCGCAAGGCUGAAACUCAAAGGAAUUGACGGGGGCCCGCACAAGCGGUGGAGCAUGUGGUUUAAUUCGACGCAACGCGAAGAACCUUACCUGGAUUUGACAUGUACAGGACCGGCAAUGAAAGUUGUCUUCUCUUCGGAGCCUGUACACAGGUGCUGCAUGGCUGUCGUCAGCUCGUGUCGUGAGAUGUUGGGUUAAGUCCCGCAACGAGCGCAACCCUCGCCCUUUGUUGCCACCGGGUUAUGCCGAGCACUCUAAGGGGACUGCCUCGGUGAACGAGGAGGAAGGUGGGGAUGACGUCAAGUCCUCAUGGCCUUUAUGUCCAGGGCUACACACGUGCUACAAUGGUCAAGACAAUGGGUUGCUACUCUGCGAAGAGACGCCAAUCUCAAAAACUUGGCCUCAGUUCGGAUGGCUGGCUGCAACUCGCCAGCCUGAAGCUGGAAUCGCUAGUAAUCGGAGAUCAGCAUGCUCCGGUGAAUACGUUCCCGGGCCUUGUACACACCGCCCGUCACACCACGAAAGCUGUGUGUACCAGAAGUCGCUGUACCAACCUCGCAAGAGGAGGAAAGUGCCGAAGGUAUGCGUGGUAAUUGGGGUGAAGUCGUAACAAGGUAACCAAGG
Molecule: ribosomal RNA, 1527 nt
Filed under: uncultured bacterium
Lineage: Bacteria
Description: bacterial SSU rRNA
Rfam family: Bacterial small subunit ribosomal RNA
Source: RNAcentral